CCUCGCUGCCUCGACGGGGGAGCCGGCAGCAGGGCCGCGGCCGGGGCUGUGCGCGCUCACGGGCGGGCAACGCCCUUCCAGUCAGGCCGUCUGGCGGGAAGAAGGGGACGCGCAAGGGCCGCCCGCCCUCCCUCCUAUGGCGGCCGGCUGGCCUUCCCUCCCCUCAACGUCCUUCCAGUCAGUCAGUCAGGCCGUCUAGGCGGGAAGGGGGGGACAAGAAGGGCCGACCGAUCACCACCGCCCGCCCAUGGCGGCUGGGCUCGGCCCCGCUCCCCGGCGCUUCCUCCCCGAGCGCGAACAAAGGCCGCGGGCGCUGAAGGAAGAGGAGGGGGCGGGAGAAGGGGGGAUGAGUUGUUUCGCUUCUGCCCCGCCGCGCCCAGGCCGCAAACGCGCCUUGAAAAGCCUGUCGUGAACAAAAGAAAAAGCAGAAGCCCACAAACGGCGUUAUUUGAGCCGGGAAUCGCCCGGAGAGAGCAGGGCUCGGAGGAGGAGGAGCUGAUACCCCUUCACCCAUGUUGAAUACUGGGCCUCAGAUAAGCCAGGCAGGACAGAUGUUACCAAGAUGGAAUCUUCUCACACCAGUGCUCACAUACUAAAACAUUGUUACUUACAAAUGGAAAGUCCGUGCUCUGCCACCUCUUCAAAUCCAUGGAAUCUGGGUAAGGAAACCCGACCAGCCAAAUGUGUUUACACACGCUGGGUAUAACCACAUACACACAUAACUCAUUUUUCACCACACCUAUUCUUUUGUAAAUAUACAACUGUUGCAGUAGUUCCUGUUUCUGAUCCAGUGACUUCAUUACAUUUUAUUCUGCAGUGAAAAAUUUGAUUGAUAUACAGUUAUACUACUGGUAUGAAGAGGGAUUAUGAAGAUUGAAAAUGGUUGUUUUCAGGGUGGAGGGUUGUUUCAGGUGGGGUGGGUGGGGCUUUUUUGUUUUGUUUUAUAAAUCUCACUGGACAAAUCCAUUUUGCUGCACUUUAAAAUCUUUCACAUUACUGUGUGCAACACUUUAAUUCUGAAUUCUUCAUAUAGUUCUGUACUGGAAGCUACUCUAUAUGCAGUAUCUUUAUUUUUUAAAUUUCUUUUUCAUUUUUUGAUCUUCACUUUUUUGGCAUGUGCAUACAGGUAGAUACAGAAACCAUCCUAGAUUGGAGUAUUUAGUGGGGACUUACUUGACACAUGUCCUUAUCUGUUUCUAUAUAUUACAAAAAUAUUGUUCAUAACUGAAAAUUUAGCUCAAAAUAUCUGCUAAUACCUGAAGAUCUAAUUUACAUAAUUAACAAAACCAAGUCUUCAUGUUUUUUUGUUAGGCCACUCGGAAGUAGGUAGCCCAGCCAAAGCACAUUAAAAUACCUGAAAUGGAUUGGAAAUGUAACUCACACAAUUUCACAAAAUGGUGACACUUCUCAAACCUGAGGCAUCCCUGUGUGCUAGGACUUGGUCAGCUGAAGCAAAAAUAGAAGUUUUUCUCCAGAAGCUUGGUUUAGAUCUAAUGAAAACCCCUCCUGUAAGGAGGUUGCUCCAUAGUUCUCAGUUGCAAAAUUUCUUGCACUUUUUUCUCAAUCAGCUGAUAUUAACCCCUUUAUAGAGAACAUACUGAAUUAAACGAAUCUUUAGGCAGUUUCACCAGUUUGUGUGUUUCUCCAGCUUUUUCAAACACACUGGCAAAACUAGCCAGAGUCUGUGGUACCUGGUACACUGCUACAACACCUGGUUUUGCAGGUUGCUCUGCCAUUCAGAACCUGCCUGUUACAGCCCCACAGCAGCACACUGGUGGCGAGGCUGUGAACAAUCAGUGCUUCAAGCCUUUUUUGUGGAACAACCAAGGAAUUGAUGGUUAAAAUGAAAAAAUGGCUGUCUCACUAUUACCGUGGAACUCUUCCAAAUGGGGAACAAUUAUGCCACGCAUAGUUCUAUACUUUUACCAGCUCCUGAUUAACUGGGCAUCUGCUUAAGCAGAGCCAAUAAUUGCAUGCACAUCAAAAGUUGCUCUCUAGUUUUCAGCCUCCAAGCUCUGUUUUCACUCUCACAUGUCCAUGACUGCCAUCAACAGGUAAAAAUGAAGGCUACUGAGAGGUUUUAAAAAUAUUUGUGAAAUGCAGGUUUAGGAAUCUUGACAACCAAAUGUCCUCAUUGAAUGAUGCCAUGAUGCACACUGCAGUACUUGUGGAGUAUUCCAUCUUUAUCAGUGUAAUAGUUAAAAAGGCAACUGCUGCUUUUCUUAGGCUGCAGGAGUAGGAAGCCUUGUUCAAAAGCGAAAAGGUAGAUGGACAGAUAAGGCAGAGACAGUCCUGAGAGAAGGGGUUCUUGUUCAACAAGAGCAGCAAGGAUGUAACUUGGUCCCCAAUGAAUUAAUGGGUACAGGCUUUAUUUGCAAGUGAAAUUGUCAUUGCACAUGGUCUAGAAAUACACCAUAUUCAUGUCUUAUUGAAUGUUUUGUCAGUAUUUUUGUCAUUUCUUAGAAAGUAUUUCGGCUUUGCAUACAAAUAGCAUUGUUAUGGCGUUGUUAUAAUCAAAAUUUACAUAUCGUUAGCUGAGAAAAUAUACUGGAUAACUCAAGAUGCUCCUGAACUCUGAAAAA
This is a long non-coding RNA of Calidris pugnax (ruff), 2582 nucleotides long. RefSeq lists it as uncharacterized. The record is from RefSeq and is a predicted model, not a curated record. The transcript has 3 exons. NCBI's taxonomy places the organism in Eukaryota, Metazoa, Chordata, Aves, Charadriiformes, Scolopacidae.